GGCCAAUAAACGACAUUAACCUAAAAGAAAAGAAAAACAAUUUGAUUUCCACAUUGUAUUUACUGUACAUGUGGUCUAAAAUUAAUUUCAAAUUUAUUUUUUAAACACAAUUCCAGUAGAUUUCCAAUGAUGGGCUACGAAUUAUGCUUUCUGUGUACCCAUUAAGGUGAUCUAAUUAGUUUCCAUGCAAUAAUUACAUGAAUAGAUGUUCAUAACAAGCAUACCCUAACCAUAAACUUUACCUAGAAAUUCAACAUCAAUCGAAC
This 266-nucleotide unclassified non-coding RNA is filed under the name Hevea brasiliensis (rubber tree). The record is from RNAcentral. Lineage: Eukaryota; Viridiplantae; Streptophyta; Magnoliopsida; Malpighiales; Euphorbiaceae.